This 365-nucleotide long non-coding RNA is filed under the name Setaria viridis. RNAcentral's name for it is "long non-coding RNA (SVIR_LNC010276)". The record is from RNAcentral. Lineage: Eukaryota; Viridiplantae; Streptophyta; Magnoliopsida; Poales; Poaceae.
UUGAGGUUAACGGGAGGAGGUAUGGAUCUGGAAAAAAGAGGAAGGAUCGGGGAAAGGGGAAGCGGGAGGCAGACGGACGUACGGGAAAAAAUGGGAGGAUCGGAUGACGACGUACAAAAAAACAACAUAUCGAAUAUUGGCACACUAAUUAGGAGUAUUAAAUAUAGUAUAAUGAUAAAAUUAAUUGCUAAUUCAUUAGACGAAUUUAUUAAACCUAGUUCAUGAUUAGCCUAUGUGAUGCUAUAGUAAACAUGUGCUAAUUAAGAGUUAAUUAGACUUAAUAGAUUCGUCUCACAAAUUAACCAAUUAGUUUUAUCAUUAACUUAUAUUUAAUACUUGUAAUUAGUGGCCAAACAACUGAUGUG